CCUACGGGAGGCAGCAGUGAGGAAUAUUGGUCAAUGGACGAGAGUCUGAACCAGCCAAGUAGCGUGAAGGAUGACUGCCCUCUGGGUUGUAAACUUCUUUUAUAUGGGAAUAAAACGUUCCACGUGUGGGAUUUUGUAUGUACCAUAUGAAUACGGAUCGGCUAACUCCGUGCCAGCAGCCGCGGUAAUACGGAGGAUCCGAGCGUUAUCCGGAUUUAUUGGGUUUAAAGGGAGCGUAGGUGGAUUGUUAAGUCAGUUGUGAAAGUUUGCGGCUCAACCGUAAAAUUGCAGUUGAAACUGGCAGUCUUGAGUACAGUAGAGGUGAGCGGAAUUCGUGGUGUAGCGGUGAAAUGCUUAGAUAUCACGAAGAACUCCGAUUGCGAAGGCAGUUCACUGGACUGCAACUGACACUGAGGCUCGAAAGUGUGGGUAUCAAACAGGAUUAGAUACCCGGGUAGUC
Molecule: ribosomal RNA, 460 nt
Filed under: uncultured bacterium
Lineage: Bacteria
Description: partial 16S ribosomal RNA
Rfam family: Bacterial small subunit ribosomal RNA
Source: RNAcentral